This 377-nucleotide unclassified non-coding RNA is filed under the name uncultured Oligoflexales bacterium. RNAcentral describes it as "contains 16S-23S intergenic spacer region". Lineage: Bacteria; Pseudomonadati; Bdellovibrionota; Oligoflexia; Oligoflexales. The record is from RNAcentral.
UCCGGUUUAACACCGGCAGUCUCCUUAGAGUGCCCAACUGAAUGGUAGCAACUAAGGAUAAGGGUUGCGCUCGUUAAGGGACUUAACCCGACAUCUCACGAUACGAGCUGACGACAGCCAUGCAGCACCUAUCACCCGGUCUCCGAAGAGAAAACUAUAUUUCUAUAGCGGUCCGGGGAUGUUAAGCCCAGGUAAGGUUUUUCGCGUUGCAUCGAAUUAAACCACAUGCUCCACCGCUUGUGCGGGCCCCCGUCAAUUCCUUUGAGUUUUAAUCUUGCGACCGUACUUCCCAGGCGGAGUACUUAAUGCGUUAGCGUCGGCACUGCGGGGGUCAAUACCCACAACACCUAGUACUCAUCGUUUACGGCGUGGACUAC